UAUAUAAGUCUAAAUAAAAUAAAAAAAAACCCACAAAGAUUAGCCUACUUAAUUACAUUAAUAUCUAGUAUUGAAUCAAAAUUAAUAAUCCAUUUAAAAUCUAGGAGAAUGAAACACAUACUACCUAAUUAUGAUAAAAUAAGAUUUAGAUAUCCGCCAAGAUAUUAUAAAUAUAAUUUAAAAUGAAUAAAGUACAACAAUAC
Molecule: long non-coding RNA, 203 nt
Filed under: Capsicum annuum
Lineage: Eukaryota; Viridiplantae; Streptophyta; Magnoliopsida; Solanales; Solanaceae
Description: long non-coding RNA (CANN_LNC019294)
Source: RNAcentral